AGCUUUGCACAGUGGCAGUAUCAUAGCCAAUGAUGUUUAUCCAAGGCACAAUUAUUACUAAUUGAAAACUUUUCCCAAUACUCCACCAUGAUGACUGGAAAUACAGUAGGCAUUGGCAAUUUUUGGAAGUCUCUACAGGGA
Small nuclear RNA from Aotus nancymaae (Ma's night monkey), 141 nucleotides. Its record names the gene U4. It matches the Rfam family "U4 spliceosomal RNA". From Rfam's summary of the family: U4 small nuclear RNA (U4 snRNA) is a component of the major U2-dependent spliceosome. The structure of U4 snRNA from yeast and human has been reported. NCBI's taxonomy places the organism in Eukaryota, Metazoa, Chordata, Mammalia, Primates, Aotidae. The record is from Ensembl.